Molecule: small nuclear RNA, 105 nt
Filed under: Aotus nancymaae (Ma's night monkey)
Lineage: Eukaryota; Metazoa; Chordata; Mammalia; Primates; Aotidae
Source: RNAcentral
GUGCUCGCUUCGGCAGCACAUAUUCUAAAAUUGGAACGAUACAGAGAAGAUUAGCAUGGCCCCUGCGCAAGGAUAACACUGUAUUUUAAAAACUAGUGAUUUUGU